CAUACGGGAUGCUGCAGUGAGGAAUAUUGGUCAAUGGACGAGAGUCUGAACCAGCCAAGUAGCGUGAAGGAUGACUGCCCGAUGGGUUGUAAACUUCUUUUAUAUGGGAAUAAAAUGUUCCACGUGUGGGAUUUUGUAUGUACCAUAUGAAUAAGGAUCGUCUAACUCCGUGCCAGCAGCCGCGGUAAUACGGAGGAUCCGAGCGUUAUCCGGAUUUAUUGGGUUUAAAGGGAGCGUAGGUGGAUUGUUAGGUCAGUUGUGAAAGUUUGCGGCUCAACCGUAAAAUUGCAGUUGAAACUGGCAGUCUUGAGUACAGUAGAGGUGGGCGGAAUUCGUGGUGUAGCGGUGAAAUGCUUAGAUAUCACGAAGAACUCCGAUUGCGAAGGCAGUUCACUGGACUGCAACUGACACUGAGGCUCGAAAGUGUGGGUAUCAAACAGGAUUAGAUACCCCGGUAGUC
RNAcentral lists this ribosomal RNA (460 nucleotides) under uncultured bacterium. RNAcentral's name for it is "partial 16S ribosomal RNA". It matches the Rfam family "Bacterial small subunit ribosomal RNA", at positions 338 to 795 of the family's 1533-position model. The record is from RNAcentral.